UAUGGGAUCGGGGAUCAGGGAUUUAUGGGAUUUAUGGGGUUUGGGGUUUAUGGGAUUGUGGGAUGUGUGGUACAGGGAUCAGUUCCUGCCCCUCGUGUUCCACAGACACCCCAGGUAACGGGAUUCGGGAUUUAUGGGAUUUGGGGUUUGGGGUUUAUGGGAUAUUUGGGGUUUAUGGGAUUGGGAAUGUGAGAUAUGUGGGACAGGGAUGAGUUGCUGCUGUUUUUCCCAUUUUCCCUCACUUUUCCCCUGUUUUUCCUGUUCUUUCCUUAUUUUCACCCCAUUUUCUUCACCCACUUUUCCCCCAUUUUUCCUCCCAUUUUUUUCCCAUUUCUCCCCCAUUUCUCCCCAUUUUUUCCCAUUUUCUCCCCAUUUUUCCCCAUUCCUCCCCAUUUUUUUCCCAUUUCUCCCCAUUUCCCCCCAUUUUUUUCCCAUUUUCACCCCGUUUUCACCCCGUUUCUCCCCAUUUUCACCCCGUUUCUCCCAUUUUCACCCCGUUUCACCCCAUUUCUCCCCGUUUUCACCCCGUUUUUCCCCAUUUUUCCCCAUUUCCCCCCGUUUCUCCCCGUUUCCCAGCCCCGAGUACUCCCGCUACUUUUCCCGGCGGGAUCUGGAGGCGUUUUCGGCGGAGCCGCUGCUGCUGUUCCCCACUCACUACACGGGGGAGCCCGGCUACGUCAGCGACACCGAGACGGCCCCGGCGCCGCCGCGCGACGAGCUCUGACCCCAAUAAAACUCACACUUGGAUUUUUAAACGGCUUUUUGCUGGUUUUAUUUUCGGGAUUUUUUUUGGGAUUUUUGGGGAUUUUUUAUGGGGUUUUUUGGGAUUUUUUUUGGAUUUUUUGGGGAUUUUUUUAUGGGUUAUUUUGGGGUUUUUUGGGGAUUUUUUUCUUGGGUUUUUGGGGAUUUUUUCUGGGUUUUAUUGGGAUUUUUUCCAGGGUUUUUUGGGAUUUUUUCUGGGUUUUAUUGGGAUUUUUUCUGGCUUUUAUUGGGAUUUUUUCUGGGUUUUAUUGGGAUUUUUUCUGGGUUUUUUGGGAUUUCUUUUUUGAUUUUUUGGGGGAUUUUUUCUUGGGUUUUUUAGGAUUUUUUUCUGGGUUUUUUGGGAUUUUUUCUGGGUUAUUUUGGGAUUUUUUCUGGCUUUUAUUGGGAUUUUUUCCAGGGUUUUUUGGGGGAUUUUUUUGGGAUCUUUUGGGUAAAUUUUUGGGGUUAUUUUGGGGAUUUUCUUUGGAUAUUUUGGGGAUGUUUUUGGGGAUAAUUUGGGGAUAUUUUGGGAUAUUUUUUGGGGAUAUUUUGGGAAUAUUUUGGGGAUGUUUUUGGGGAUAAUUUGGGGAUAUU
This 1335-nucleotide long non-coding RNA is filed under the name Cyanistes caeruleus (blue tit). RNAcentral describes it as "lncRNA (ENSCCEG00000000664.1)". Lineage: Eukaryota; Metazoa; Chordata; Aves; Passeriformes; Paridae. The record is from RNAcentral.